CCUACGGGGGGCAGCAGCAAGGAAUUUUCCCCAAUGGGCUAACGCCUGAGGGAGCAACGCCGCGUGCAGGAAGACGGCCUUCGGGUUGUAAACUGCUUUUCGGAGGGAAGAAUAUGACGGUACCUCCGGAAUAAGCCCCGGCUAACUCUGUGCCAGCAGCCGCGGUAAGACGGAGGGCGCGAGCGUUGUUCGGAAUCACUGGGCGUAAAGCGCGCGCAGGCGGGCUCUAGCAAGUCGGAAGUGAAAUCCCGGGGCUCAACUCCGGGCCUGCUUCCGAAACUGCGGGUCUGGAGACCGGUAGAGGUGGGUGGAAUUCCCGGUGUAGCGGUGGAAUGCGUAGAGAUCGGGAAGAACACCUGUGGCGAAGGCGGCCCACUGGGCCGGUUCUGACGCUGAGGCGCGAAAGCGUGGGGAGCAAACAGGAUUAGAUACCCUAGUAG
Molecule: ribosomal RNA, 440 nt
Filed under: uncultured bacterium
Lineage: Bacteria
Description: bacterial SSU rRNA
Rfam family: Bacterial small subunit ribosomal RNA
Source: RNAcentral